Molecule: long non-coding RNA, 1999 nt
Filed under: Androctonus crassicauda
Lineage: Eukaryota; Metazoa; Arthropoda; Arachnida; Scorpiones; Buthidae
Source: RNAcentral
CAUUACCAAGAGUCAUGUAUCGUCUCAAGUUUUUCUAAUUAAACUUCCAAGCAAGCCAUAUUCUAGAAUUCAGAAGUGUCAUAGUAAAUCUCAAUUUUUUGAUAAGUUUUUAAUAAAUCUGAAUGAAUAUCUGAGAAAAAUGCCAUACAAAUUUGCCUUGGGACAUUGCAAUAUGCUUAGUUAGGCAAAUCACAAGAAAACUUAGAUAUAAUGCUUGUUCAAGCAAAGAUCUGUUGAUAUAUAGGAAGUCCUCAACUUAUAAUAGUGUUAUGUUCAAAAAUUUCAUUUGUAAUUUGAAUCCAUCAUAACUCAGAACACUAUUUUCCAUAGUUGCAAUAUUAUAAAUGUAGGUUAACUCCCUAGCCACCAGAACUUACAAGAAAAUAUCAUGAUUUUAUGGAUUUGAGCACUUAAAAUGCUUAGCAUCACUGCUUAAGUACCUAAAGAAAUCCAGAAAACAAGAAUCAUUUGGCAGAUUAUAAAUAGAUAAAUGGGUUCAAAUUUCAAAACGUUUUUAUCUUUUUUAGCCAUGGUGUAGUUAGAGAUGAUGCAGUCACAAGAAUGUCAGUUCAACAAUUUUUUUUUGCUCAAGUUAAAUGCAAUAUAAGAGCAAUGGAACCUAAACAUUUAAACGUUGUGAUUCUUAGAAUUUGCUUGCUCUAAACAGUAAUCUAACAAAAUUACUAACUGUAAUUUUGUUGAAACCUGAACAAUUUGUUAAUCUUUACCAUUUUAGCACUUUGAUUCAAUCAGCUGCUUGAUAUCUUCUUACCUUCUAUCAAAUACCUCAAUAAUUCCAACAUAAUGAAUUUGAGUUAACUGUUAACACAUACAACUAUGAGACUGAACCUGAUGAUGAUGGUGAUCAAUAUUGUGGUCUGCUGAUACUGAUGAUGAUAGGAACAUCCUGCUGUCUCUAGAAAAACGUGAAACCUGACAAGAUUGAAAUGCAUAUCUUGUAAAAGCUUAUCAUUUUUGAAAGUUUCAAUCAAAGGACUCCAUUCUUGUCAUUGAAAAAGAAGAUAAUUGGCAGAUUUGUCUGUUAUCUCCAAUAUAAAAAGUUGAGCAAUCAAUUUCAUUUGCUUUAUCAAUAUGAAGACUUGAAAUUGAAGUACCCAAUAAAAAAAAAUCAAUGAAAGGGUAAGAGAGAUGUCCCUUGACGUGCAAACCGAAAAUGCAGUUGCUCAUGAUGAUUUGUACCAUCAGAAUAUGGUCAUUGCAAUUUAAGCAAGAACUCUGACUGGACAUCCUUUUCAAGGCUUCAUCCUUGUGAUUAUACAAGUUCAAACAAAGAAACAUGAUUGUCCAGAUCCAUUUCACACAAAGUUGGCAAAUUAUUUUGAGAAGAUUAAAAAAAACAGAAAAUGAUAGAUGAAUUUGUCAUUAAAACAAAGCAAGUGAUUGAAUAACUUCCUUCUUCCUUCAUGGUUAUCAAUGCAAAUCAAAGCUAUUUUGAUAGAGCUGCAUUCAAGAUGGACUUUGUCAUUCCACAGUAAUGAAGAGAUCUAUGCUGAAGUUAGAUCUGCAUCAGCUAUUAUUCAUUCAUAUAUGAUAUAUCCAAUUGUGUAAAUGGAUGGAGAACUGAUGAGUCCACUAUACAUCCUCUGCACCAAGCCAAUUGAUCACUUUCCAGUCAGCAAAAAUGCCAAUUCAUCCAUUGUUCAUUCCUAUAUCUCCUCUUCAUCAAAACAAGCUUCUCCUUUUCAUUGAUUCAUAGAGAACCAACAUAGUUGAAGAUUUGAUGCAGAAAUCAGAAAAUAUUGAACUUCUACUGCUCCUCAUCUCCAAUGAUACAUCUCUCUCAUUCAACUGCUUGAUGUUUUCUUCUGUCUUUAAAAGAACUUUGCAAAAUACAUCACUGACACAGUUCUUAUAUCUUCUGAUUUCAAAAUCUGGCAAUAAGAGAAUUUCAUCAACCUUUGAUCACUUGUUCACUUCAAGUUUAUAGCUCCAAUUUUCCAAAAUAUGAUCUGACUAGCUGAAGCCCGCAAAUUUUUGC